This 300-nucleotide ribosomal RNA is filed under the name Triticum aestivum (bread wheat). RNAcentral's name for it is "partial small subunit ribosomal RNA". Lineage: Eukaryota; Viridiplantae; Streptophyta; Magnoliopsida; Poales; Poaceae. The record is from RNAcentral.
AUGGGGAUGAGCUUUGACGCGGACGAAGCACAGGGGCAGAGUGCGGUGACAAGGGCAGGCCACGCGGACACGAAGGCAGCGGCUCGUCGGGCGUCCGGCUGCCGGCGAGGACGGCUCGCCGGGCGGCUGGACAUGCCAUCCAUGGCAUGCGCGCCAGCACGGGCGCGUCCAGGGGGCUCGCUGCUCACCACCGCAACGUCGCCAGCCGCCAUGCGCGCUGCGCAGCAUUUCCAGCGUACCGCAGCGUCGCCAGCCGUCGUGCACUCCCUGCGCAGGUCGCCAACGCGUGCUCCGCCUUAG